UUUUUCUUUGGGGUGAUAGAGGCCUACCAUGCCACUAACGGGUAACGGGGAAUUAGGGUUCGAUUCCGGAGAGGGAGCCUGAGAAACGGCUACCACAUCCAAGGAAGGCAGCAGGCGCGCAAAUUACCCAAUCCCGAUACGGGGAGGUAGUGACAAUAAAUAACAAUACAGGGCUCUUAUGGGUCUUGUAAUUGGAAUGAGUACAAUUUAAAUCCCUUAACGAGGAACAAUUGGAGGGCAAGUCUGGUGCCAGCAGCCGCGGUAAUUCCAGCUCCAAUAGCGUAUAUUAAAGUUGUUGCAGUUAAAAAGCUCGUAGUUGAAUUUCGGAGUUCUACCGUUGGUCGGGCAAUAGUCUGUACUGGCGUGUAGAAUUUCUACCUUCUGGGGAACCAUCAUGUUAUUUAUUUAGCGUGGUGGGAAACCAGGACCUUUACCUUGAAAAAAUUAGAGUGUUCAAAGCAGGCUUACGUCUGAAUACAUUAGCAUGGAAUAAUAAAAUAGGACGGUGGUCCUGUUUUGUUGGUUUCUGAAUCACCGUAAUGAUUAAUAGGGAUAGUUGGGGGCAUUAGUAUUCAAUUGUCAGAGGUGAAAUUCUUGGAUUUAUUGAAGACUAACUUCUGCGAAAGCAUUUGCCAAGGAUGUUUUCAUUAAUCAAGAACGAAAGUUAGGGGAUCGAAGACGAUCAGAUACCGUCGUAGUCUUAACCAUAAACUAUGCCGACUAGGGAUCGGACGAUGUUAAUUUUUCUUGACUCGUGCGGCGCCUACGGAACAGUUUUUGGGGGGGGAAAAAAAAGAGAGGGGCCA
Molecule: ribosomal RNA, 806 nt
Filed under: Gigaspora margarita
Lineage: Eukaryota; Fungi; Glomeromycota; Glomeromycetes; Diversisporales; Gigasporaceae
Description: SSU rRNA
Rfam family: Eukaryotic small subunit ribosomal RNA
Source: RNAcentral